GACGAACGCUGGCGGCGUGCUUAACACAUGCAAGUCGAACGGAAAGGCCCUGCUUGCAGGGUACUCGAGUGGCGAACGGGUGAGUAACACGUGGGUGAUCUGCCCUUCACUUCGGGAUAAGCCUGGGAAACUGGGUCUAAUACCGGAUAGGAGCCAUUUUUAGUGUGAUGGUUGGAAAGUUUUUUCGGUGUAGGAUGAGCUCGCGGCCUAUCAGCUUGUUGGUGGGGUAAUGGCCUACCAAGGCGGCGACGGGUAGCCGGCCUGAGAGGGUGGACGGCCACAUUGGGACUGGGAUACGGCCCAGACUCCUACGGGAGGCAGCAGUGGGGAAUAUUGCACAAUGGGCGCAAGCCUGAUGCAGCGACGCCGCGUGGGGGAUGACGGCCUUCGGGUUGUAAACUCCUUUCGCUAGGGACGAAGCUUUUGUGACGGUACCUAGAUAAGAAGCACCGGCUAACUACGU
Molecule: ribosomal RNA, 463 nt
Filed under: uncultured bacterium
Lineage: Bacteria
Description: partial 16S ribosomal RNA
Rfam family: Bacterial small subunit ribosomal RNA
Source: RNAcentral